Molecule: ribosomal RNA, 231 nt
Filed under: uncultured bacterium
Lineage: Bacteria
Description: partial 16S ribosomal RNA
Rfam family: Bacterial small subunit ribosomal RNA
Source: RNAcentral
GAUCAUGGCUCGGGAUGAACGCUAGCUACAGGCUUAACACAUGCAAGUCGAGGGGCAGCGGGAUUGAAGCUUGCUUCAAUUGCCGGCGACCGGCGCACGGGUGAGUAACGCGUAUCCAACCUUCCGUACACUCAGGGAUAGCCUUUCGAAAGAAAGAUUAAUACCUGAUGGUAUGAUGAGAUUGCAUGGUAUCAUCAUUAAAGAUUUAUCGGUGUACGAUGGGGAUGCGUU